Molecule: ribosomal RNA, 250 nt
Filed under: uncultured Clostridia bacterium
Lineage: Bacteria; Bacillati; Bacillota; Clostridia
Description: partial 16S ribosomal RNA
Rfam family: Bacterial small subunit ribosomal RNA
Source: RNAcentral
UACGUAGGGGGCAAGCGUUAUCCGGAUUUACUGGGUGUAAAGGGAGCGUAGGUGGUAUGGUAAGUCAGAUGUGAAAGCCCAGGGCUCAACCCUGGGACUGCAUUUGAAACUGCCAAACUAGAGUGCAGGAGAGGUAAGUGGAAUUCCUAGUGUAGCGGUGAAAUGCGUAGAUAUUAGGAGGAACACCAGUGGCGAAGGCGGCUUACUGGACUGUAACUGACACUGAGGCUCGAAAGCGUGGGGAGCAAAC